This 353-nucleotide unclassified non-coding RNA is filed under the name soil metagenome. RNAcentral's name for it is "partial contains 5.8S ribosomal RNA, internal transcribed spacer 2, and large subunit ribosomal RNA". The stretch from base 1 to 120 matches the Rfam family "5.8S ribosomal RNA", at positions 35 to 154 of the family's 154-position model. The record is from RNAcentral.
GAUGAAGAACGCAGCGAAAUGCGAUAAGUAAUGUGAAUUGCAGAAUUCAGUGAAUCAUCGAAUCUUUGAACGCACAUUGCGCCCGCCAGUAUUCUGGCGGGCAUGCCUGUUCGAGCGUCAUUACAACCCUCAGGCCCCCGGGCCUGGCGUUGGGGAUCGGCGGAAGCCCCCUGCGGGCACAACGCCGUCCCCCAAAUACAGUGGCGGUCCCGCCGCAGCUUCCAUUGCGUAGUAGCUAACACCUCGCAACUGGAGAGCGGCGCGGCCACGCCGUAAAACACCCAACUCCUGAAUGUUGACCUCGAAUCAGGUAGGAAUACCCGCUGAACUUAAGCAUAUCAAUAAGCGGAGGA